RNAcentral lists this ribosomal RNA (497 nucleotides) under uncultured bacterium. RNAcentral's name for it is "partial 16S ribosomal RNA". It matches the Rfam family "Bacterial small subunit ribosomal RNA", at positions 28 to 507 of the family's 1533-position model. The record is from RNAcentral.
GAUGAACGCUGGUGGCGUGCCUAAUACAUGCAAGUCGAGCGAACAGACGAGGAGCUUGCUCCUCUGACGUUAGCGGCGGACGGGUGAGUAACACGUGGAUAACCUACUUAUAAGACUGGUAUCACUUCGGGAAUCCGGAGCUAAUACCGUAUAAUAUAUUGAACCGCAUGGUUCGAUGGUGAGAGACGGCUUUGCUGUCUCUUAUAGAUGGAUCCGCGCCGCAUUGGCUAGUUGGUAAGGUAACGGCUUACCAAGGCGACGAUGCGUAGCCGAGCUGAGGGGGUGAUCGGCCACACUGGAGCGGAGACACGGACCAGGCUACUACGGGAGGCAGCAGUAGGGAAUCUUCCGCAAUGGGCGAAAGCAUGACGGAGCAACGCCGCGUGAGUGAUGAAGGUCUUCGGAUCGUAAAACUCUGUUAUUAGGGAUGAACAAAUGUGUAAGUAACUAUGCACGUCUUGACGGUACCUAAUCAGAAAGCCACGGCUAACUACGUG